RNAcentral lists this long non-coding RNA (207 nucleotides) under Mytilus galloprovincialis (Mediterranean mussel). The record is from RNAcentral. Lineage: Eukaryota; Metazoa; Mollusca; Bivalvia; Mytilida; Mytilidae.
UGGCCUCUAUAAGAAUUUGAGUUAAAAAUAGUAUGUCACCAGACUCGUUUCCAUGGUAACGGUCACCAAAGUUGGAACAUCACAUGUUUGAGUAAAUACAUACCUGUAAUGAAAAUUCUGGAUUUUUUUCAAACCUUUGAAAGUAUUUUGAAAGGUUUGUUCUUCAUUUAUCACUAAAAUAAUGUUUAAAAUGUAAAAAAAACACAA